Molecule: ribosomal RNA, 200 nt
Filed under: uncultured bacterium
Lineage: Bacteria
Description: partial 16S ribosomal RNA
Rfam family: Bacterial small subunit ribosomal RNA
Source: RNAcentral
AUUGAACGCUGGCGGCAUGCCUUACACAUGCAAGUCGAACGGCAGCGCGGGAGCAAUCCUGGCGGCGAGUGGCGAACGGGUGAGAAUACAUCGGAACGUGCCCAAUCGUGGGGGAUAACGCAGCGAAAGCUGUGCUAAUACCGCAUACGAUCUACGGAUGAAAGCAGGGGAUCGCAAGCCUUGCGCGAAUGGAGCCGGCC